RNAcentral lists this ribosomal RNA (376 nucleotides) under uncultured bacterium. Its description in RNAcentral is "bacterial SSU rRNA". It matches the Rfam family "Bacterial small subunit ribosomal RNA", at positions 521 to 896 of the family's 1533-position model. The record is from RNAcentral.
UAAUACGAAGGGGGCGAGCGUUGUUCGGAUUUACUGGGCGUAAAGGGCGCGUAGGCGGCCUUCCAAGUCGAGUGUGAAAGCCCCGGGCUCAACCUGGGAGGUGCGCUCGAGACUGGCGGGCUGGAGUUCGGGAGAGGAGCGUGGAAUUCCCAGUGUAGAGGUGAAAUUCGUAGAUAUUGGGAAGAACACCGGUGGCGAAGGCGGCGCUCUGGACCGAGACUGACGCUGAGGCGCGAAGGCGUGGGGAGCAAACAGGAUUAGAUACCCUGGUAGUCCACGCGGUAAACGAUGUGUGCUAGACGUUGGGGAGCCUAGCUCUUCGGUGUCGCAGCUAACGCUUUAAGCACACCGCCUGGGGAGUACGGCCGCAAGGUUA